CUGGGUGUGAUGCAUAAGAACAACAUCUGACUGACAAUGAUGGUGUUUGUAUUCAUACUGUCUGAUCCAG
This 70-nucleotide small nucleolar RNA is filed under the name Gouania willdenowi (blunt-snouted clingfish). Lineage: Eukaryota; Metazoa; Chordata; Actinopteri; Blenniiformes; Gobiesocidae. The record is from RNAcentral.